Cyanistes caeruleus (blue tit) is the source of this 3750-nucleotide long non-coding RNA. Lineage: Eukaryota; Metazoa; Chordata; Aves; Passeriformes; Paridae. The record is from Ensembl.
GUUAGACUUCAGGGACACAGGAGGUGUCUCUUUUCCAAGGUAUUGCCAGGGAAUCCUGCUGACGGAUUUCUUACUCCCAAGUGGGAUCUUCUUUACCAAACCCAUCCCCUCCCUAGAGAUCAGCUCAUCCCUCUGUGUCACAGGGAAGUUUUGGGCAGGUGCAGAGUUCAAGGCUCUGCCAGAGCUGGUGCUCAGAGGGAUUUACUGUGGUCUGUGCUCUGUUGUGUAGGAGAGGUGCUUAUUAUAGCCUGAAAUCCCUCCCAAGGCAACUCCCUCCUUGGAGUCAGCUGCACGAUCUGGCUCUUACUUAUCACUUAUAAAGAUUUUUAAAGCUUUCCUGCAAAACAAAAGAUAUAUUUCUGGCUUGAGCAAUAAGGGAUCUGGGGAAAGCCAGGAGAUGAAAGGUCAAGCAAGAGGAGCUUGUGAAACCACACUGGAGCAGAACUGCAGGCUGUAGUCAGCCAGGAGCUUGUACUGCAAUUGACAGGGCUAUUCAUGGAAAGGGUUUUGAUUAGAGUUGCCAUGACAAUGGGAAACACCUAAAAAAGAUCUAUGAAAUGUUAUAUCGGCAUCAAGCCAAGAAGUUAAGCCAAAUCCUGUGCUCUGGUUAUUCCUGUGAGUCAGUGCCUUUCAUCACAGCAUUGCUAAAAGAAGGAUUUGCUCGUCUGACUUUGAAGAUUUGGGAGAAACAGAGCACCCUGAUGGACCAGCUGCCUGAAGGGGACAGGUUGGAUCCUCUGCAACCUGAUUUUAUCCAUUCAGGACAGCAGUGCAGGGAAAAAAACACAGCCAGGAGGGGCAUCAUCUCCUGCUUCUCCUCCUGUCUCCACCCCAUCUAACAGCUCAGCAGCAGAAAGGAUAGGCUUGUCUCCAAAGAGAAUAAUGGUAUGUUAAUGAGAGCCCUGCUCCCUGAAACUGCUGGUUCCUGUACUUUGGCUCUGGCUGUGGUGUUGGAGAACAUGGAAUACCAUAUUUUACUGUGCAGGCUGCACAGAUUCCCCUGCUGCGCCAAUCCCCGCGUGUGAACCUCAGCCAUCACCAUCUCGUGCCUUCAAGGUACUGCAUGCUUGUAGGGCUGAAGUCAGAGCUGAGGAGCCUGUCCUGCUUUCCACAAGCCUGUGAAUUUCACUAAUGCCACCAAGGGUUUUAUGUCUGCCAGUACCAGACCCCCCCAGUUUAUUCUGCCCUUGUUCCCUGCUUUUGUAACCCAGAUAUUUGCAUAAAACAGAGCAGCAAUGCCAAGUGCUGGUGCCUUCAUUCCUGCUGCACAGGCUCCAUAUGCUGCCUAUCUGUGUCAAUUCCAAGGAGCUCUGCCAUUGCACGAGGACAAUUUUCAGACUGUGUGUGUGUAAAUUAGAGCUGACAGUCUGCAGCUUUAAUUCAUGGACUGAAGCUGAUCUUUGCUCACAUCCUACCCAUCAGAUAACCUUAGCACCAUGAUCAAUACAGCCAGAUAAUUACAGUUAGAAGAAAAGCUAAGUGCAGGUUUCCAGUGUUUUUUUCAUCAAAACAAAGUCCUAGGGAUAUGCUCCUGCCAGGGCUUAGACAAUUCUCCUUUAUUACACCAGGAGCUCACACAAGCCUAAUACUAUAUAAUUCUUUCUAUGUGAACACCCUCAACCAGAAAUUCCCUCUCAUCUAAAUCUAGCUCCUCUAUCUUGGUAUGAGUCUCUAAUUCUGCAUGUGUUGGGGGGGAACUGUCCCUCUGUUUCCCUGUUGAUCUAGUGCCAAAUCCACUGACGUCAACAGCUGAGAAAAAGGAAAACCUGAUCCAUGAAACUUCAGACAUUUCUGAAGAAAAGCCUUCGGCCUUUUCUACCUAAAGUUGGUUGAUAUAAUUUCCCACUUGCACCUGGUCACCCCAGAACUUGUUUUUCAAACACAUGUUGUUCUUUUGCUCUUUAUGUAUUUGCUUUUCCAGCUGCCAUGUGAAGCUUGUUCUUUGCAGGCACUGAUUUAGGAGGAGAUCCUGGCAAGCAGAAAGCCAUUUCACACUGCCCUGGGAAACACGAGUCAGCCUGGGGAUACCCUGAUUUUCUGUGUCAGGUGGAGCACUAAAGAAGACCCUGCUGCUGACCACAGACAUUGACUGUCAAGCCUAAAGGAUAUGUCACUGUCCAAUGCAUGUUGUCAAGUGAAACAUGGGUGUUUAUUUUCACUUUAUAAUUUACAGGAUCAACAAGAUCCACAAGGCAUGGAUCUGGGUACCUCAGCCAGGACCCAAAGAACAGCUCAGUGAUGGAUAAAACUCAGCCUGUGCACCAGAGCAAUGCUGUAGGUGAACAGGGCAAGGUUGAUGUCCAGCUCUGACUCCAAGGGCAUCUGGAAUUAAAGAGUAGUAGUAACCCUGCAGCAGCAAGAAAGGAAAAUGACUGUGAUCAUUAACUGCACAGCUAUAAAUUCUCUGGGAUGUGAAACUUUCACACAGUUGUGAAGAAGCCAUCAUCAACAUGGGCUCUGGUGCACAUGCACACACACACACAGCAUAUGUACACACAGAGAGAUCAAUAGAUUGCAUAUGGUGCACAUGGCAUAAUUCAUGACUCUUCCUGAAGGCUGUCACAAAUCUGAGAUGUAUUGGUUAAGAAGAGUACAGGGGUAGUCUUUUAAUUAGUCCACAGCUUGGCUGCAUUGUAAAAUUUACUCUCUGACAUUGCAGCCAAAAUUUAUAACCUUUUAAAUCAAAGGAACAUCUCAUAGUCUGCGUUUUUGCUAAUAGGAGGUGUUAAUGAUAAAAGCACAAGCCCGGAAAAGUAACAUGUUAGACAAUUACUCAUAAAAUUCAGAAGUGUUUCUCAGGCCAAGGUGUUAUCCUAUAAAAAUUAAUUUGAAAAUAUAUGGGGCUCCCAGAUGUCUUACUCAUAUCUGUGUAUUACCUGCCUGAUGCUGGUGGAAGGAAAGCUGCCCUUUGCUCCUCUGAGGUGAAUCCUUCCCAGGAGUGCUGUUAAAUGAGCAGGGUUUGGCUGUCAUAGGGCCUCCAGCUCAGGCAAAUCCAUACAGGAGAGGAACAAUUCCUGGUGAACACAGCCAGGGCUCAGCACCCUCAGUGAGCACUCACAGAGACCCUGAGAGGGCAGUAGGGCACUGGUUUGAGAGGAUUUGGGUGUUGGAAUAGAUGACUGUGGCUCUUGGCCACAAUAUUUUGCUUCAAAAGACACAUUUUAUUGUCUCUUGGCUUCGUAGCAGCUGUUGCCAGAUGUGCCCUACUUUUUGGUAGGAUAGGAAAGAGAAAGACAUUAUCUUCAGAGCUGAUUUGAGGACACACUGAGUGCUUCCUGCAGAAAUAGCUGUUAUCUGAAAAAGUUUAUGCUGUGCAGUUGUUCCUUACUGCUGGCUAGUUAUAUUGUAUGGCUUUUUCACACCUCAAAAUGCUGCUGAAGUUGAUGGCAAAAGCAGAGUCAGACAAGCUUGUGCCAGGGGCUGUCGUGGGUGGUGUAACAAAUGUCAUCUCUACCUGAAAAGUAAUUUAUGACAAAAGUGACCCAAUGUGUGAUUGACUGGCAGAGAGUUGUUGGAAAACAUUUAUAAAAAUGUAACCUUCCUUGAUUCCCCAAAUCAAUUUGUUUUCAGUUAUUUUGAAAAGUUUAUUUUCAGUUUUAUCCAAUUACAGCCAUUCUUGCAAUGAGCAUUCCUUUCGAGCUGCACGGUUCUUUCAUAUUGAAAUUUUUCAUUUGGAAAAUGUCUAAAGGUGAAUUUCAAUCAUUGGAAACUCUUUUCCUUCAGAAAUAAUAAAAAAUAUUGCUUAGGCCA